UAGGGAAUCUUCGGCAAUGGGGGGAACCCUGACCGAGCAACGCCGCGUGAGUGAAGAAGGUUUUCGGAUCGUAAAGCUCUGUUGUUAAGGAAGAACGAGUGUGAGAAUGGAAAGUUCAUGCUGUGACGGUACUUAACCAGAAAGGGACGGCUAACUACGUGCCAGCAGCCGCGGUAAUACGUAGGUCCCGAGCGUUGUCCGGAUUUAUUGGGCGUAAAGCGAGCGCAGGCGGUUAGAAAAGUCUGAAGUGAAAGGCAGUGACUCAACCAUUGUAGGCUUUGGAAACUGUUUAACUUGAGUGCAGAAGGGGAGAGUGGAAUUCCAUGUGUAGCGGUGAAAUGCGUAGAUAUAUGGAGGAACACCGGUGGCGAAAGCGGCUCUCUGGUCUGUAACUGACGCUGAGGCUCGAAAGCGUGGGGGGCGAACAAG
RNAcentral lists this ribosomal RNA (429 nucleotides) under Verrucomicrobiota bacterium. Its description in RNAcentral is "Verrucomicrobia bacterium partial 16S ribosomal RNA". It matches the Rfam family "Bacterial small subunit ribosomal RNA", at positions 355 to 776 of the family's 1533-position model. Lineage: Bacteria; Pseudomonadati; Verrucomicrobiota. The record is from RNAcentral.